AUUGAACGCUGGCGGCAGGCCUAACACAUGCAAGUCGAGCGGAUGAAGGGAGCUUGCUCCUGGAUUCAGCGGCGGACGGGCGAGUAAUGCAUAGGAAUCUGCCCGGCAGUGGGGGAUAACGUCCGGAAACGGGCGCUAAUACCGCAUACGUCCAGAGGGAGAAAGGGGGGGAUCUUAGGAGAUAACGCUACCAGCUGAGCCUAGGACGGAUUAGCUAGUUGGUGGGGUAAAGGCCUACCAAGGCGACGAUCCGUAACUGGUCUGAGAGGAUGAUCAGUCACACUGGAACUGAGACACGGUCCAGACUCCUACGGGAGGCAGCAGUAGGGAAUAUUGGACAAUGGGCGAAAGCCUGAUCCAGCCAUGCCGCGUGUGUGAAGAAGGUCUUCGGAUUGUAAAGCACUGUAAGUUGGGAGGAAGGGCAGUAAGUUAAUACCUGGCUGUUUUGACGUUACCAACAGAGUAAGCACCGGCUAACUUCGUG
This 484-nucleotide ribosomal RNA is filed under the name uncultured bacterium. RNAcentral's name for it is "partial 16S ribosomal RNA". It matches the Rfam family "Bacterial small subunit ribosomal RNA", at positions 30 to 507 of the family's 1533-position model. The record is from RNAcentral.